GUGGAUUAGAUACCCCGGUAGUCCACGCCCUAAACGGUGCACACUAGGUCUUGGCGGAUUCGACCCCCCCAGGGCCCAAGCUAACGCGUUAAGUGUGCCGCCUGAGGACUACGGCCGCAAGGCUAAAACUCAAAGGAAUUGACGGGGGCCCGCACAAGCGGUGGAGCAUGUGGCUCAAUUCGAUGCAACGCGAAGAACCUUACCAGGCCUUGACAUGCACUGGACCGGCGCUGAAAGGCGCCUUCCCCGCAAGGGGCCGGUGCACAGGUGCUGCACGGCCGUCGCCAACU
RNAcentral lists this ribosomal RNA (290 nucleotides) under uncultured bacterium. RNAcentral describes it as "partial 16S ribosomal RNA". It matches the Rfam family "Bacterial small subunit ribosomal RNA", at positions 773 to 1060 of the family's 1533-position model. The record is from RNAcentral.